CUUUCUCUAGACGCGUCUUGCUGGGAGAGUGUCCGUUGCUUCCCGUCCGUGUCGCGGCCCUGCGGUUGGCGGCCUCCUCGUGGAGCGGAGCAAGGGUAGGCCCCACGUGGCGUCUUUGCCCGGCUCCAAGAUGGACGGCAGCGGGGACUGGGAGGCUGCUCUGGGGGAGCACGUGGCGCCCUGCUCGCCUGCUCCCGGGGCAGCUGGGAUGGUGGCGGAGUCCGGAGGCCUCCUGCCGCCGUCGGGCAGGGAGGCCGGCGGAGGCGGGGCCGUGGCCGCCCCCGAGAGGCGCCCAGGCGGCGGCGGCGGCGGCCCAGCUUCUUCUUUCCUCGCACAGCCAGGCGGCCCCUGCUCGAGUCCCGCGUCGCCAUGGCCGCGGUUCCCGAGUUGCUGCAGCAGCAGGAGGAGGACCGCAGCAAGGCCGUGGCUGCUCGCCGCCAUCCCCAGCGCGGGAAGCACCCGUGAGACCCGGGCGGCCCCUCUCCCUGGUCUUCACUGAAGGCUGCCCCGGGGAAUCCCUGUGGAUGUCCCGGAUUCUAUUAGGACAGAACCAGAGACGCGGGACCUUAGCCCCAGCUCAGGCGCCGGUGCCGAGCGGACUU
This 602-nucleotide long non-coding RNA is filed under the name Homo sapiens (human). Its description in RNAcentral is "non-protein coding lnc-OVOL2-1:4". The record is from RNAcentral. Lineage: Eukaryota; Metazoa; Chordata; Mammalia; Primates; Hominidae.